GACGAACGCUGGCGGCGUGCCUAACACAUGCAAGUCGAACGGAAAGGCCCUGCUUUUGUGGGGUGCUCGAGUGGCGAACGGGUGAGUAACACGUGAGUAACCUGCCCUUGACUUUGGGAUAACUUCAGGAAACUGGGGCUAAUACCGGAUAGGAGCUCCUGCUGCAUGGGGGGGGUUGGAAAGGUUCGGCGGUUGGGGAUGGACUCGCGGCUUAUCAGCUUGUUGGUGGGGUAGUGGCUUACCAAGGCUUUGACGGGUAGCCGGCCUGAGAGGGUGACCGGCCACAUUGGGACUGAGAUACGGCCCAGACUCCUACGGGAGGCAGCAGUGGGGAAUAUUGCACAAUGGGCGGAAGCCUGAUGCAGCAACGCCGCGUGCGGGAUGACGGCCUUCGGGUUGUAAACCGCUUUCGCCUGUGACGAAGCGUGAGUGACGGUAAUGGGUAAAGAAGCACCGGCUAACUACGUG
RNAcentral lists this ribosomal RNA (468 nucleotides) under uncultured bacterium. RNAcentral describes it as "partial 16S ribosomal RNA". It matches the Rfam family "Bacterial small subunit ribosomal RNA", at positions 28 to 507 of the family's 1533-position model. The record is from RNAcentral.